RNAcentral lists this transfer RNA (75 nucleotides) under Candidatus Omnitrophota bacterium. RNAcentral's name for it is "Candidatus Omnitrophica bacterium tRNA-Gln". It matches the Rfam family "tRNA". From Rfam's summary of the family: Transfer RNA (tRNA) molecules are approximately 80 nucleotides in length. The record is from RNAcentral. Lineage: Bacteria; Pseudomonadati; Candidatus Omnitrophota.
UGCCCGGUAGUGUAGCUGGCAACACGACAGACUCUGGAUCUGUUAUCUCUGGUUCGACUCCAGACCGGGCAGCCA